Pelobates cultripes (western spadefoot toad) is the source of this 286-nucleotide non-coding RNA. The record is from the annotation of a GenBank genome assembly. NCBI's taxonomy places the organism in Eukaryota, Metazoa, Chordata, Amphibia, Anura, Pelobatidae.
GGGAAGACCAUGAUUAACACAAAAUGUCUCUCCUGCAUGCAGAAUUAGCAAUAUGCAAAUCUACUCGAAUAUGCAAAUUACCAGUCUUGCUAUUCAGGUAGUGCAUAUUACUGUUGCUACCAACAGAUGGCGCUACACAAGCUCCAUAGCCAAAUCCACCUAGUUGGUAGCAAUUCUCAGCAGUACAGGAGAGCAGGCAAUACAUCCCAGGGGCCAUAGUCACAUGGCAGGAGGCUGGCAAUUAGUCUUCUCCAAUGCCCAGUGGCGAGGCUGGUUCUGCCACACA